This 497-nucleotide ribosomal RNA is filed under the name uncultured bacterium. RNAcentral's name for it is "partial 16S ribosomal RNA". It matches the Rfam family "Bacterial small subunit ribosomal RNA", at positions 28 to 507 of the family's 1533-position model. The record is from RNAcentral.
GAUGAACGCUGGCGGCGUGCCUAAUACAUGCAAGUCGAGCGAACUGACGAGAAGCUUGCUUCUCUGAUGUUAGCGGCGGACGGGUGAGUAACACGUGGAUAACCUACCUAUAAGACUGGGAUAACUUCGGGAAACCGGAGCUAAUACCGGAUAAUAUUUUGAACCGCAUGGUUCAAAAGUGAAAGACGGUCUUGCUGUCACUUAUAGAUGGAUCCGCGCUGCAUUAGCUAGUUGGUAAGGUAACGGCUUACCAAGGCAACGAUGCAUAGCCGACCUGAGAGGGUGAUCGGCCACACUGGAACUGAGACACGGUCCAGACUCCCACGGGAGGCAGCAGUAGGGAAUCUUCCGCAAUGGGCGAAAGCCUGACGGAGCAACGCCGCGUGAGUGAUGAAGGUCUUCGGAUCGUAAAACUCUGUUAUUAGGGAAGAACAUAUGUGUAAGUAACUGUGCACAUCUUGACGGUACCUAAUCAGAAAGCCACGGCUAACUACGUG